UAUGUGUCAUAUCAACUUCUAAAAAGCCCCUCGUGUUUGAAGGUUACUUUGUGCAUCUCCAGGGGCUGUCAGCCAUGGGUCCACUGCAAAAUUUACAGCUCUAAAUCAAAGCAUAUGCCGCCAAUAAGGAAGAAACUCUGAAAACAGGGUGUAUGAUAGUAUCUGGGUGCCCCCUAGCGUAUGGAUAAUUUCUACCUCAAAAUACUCUCUUUAACGUGCAGGAGCCAUCUUAAAUAGAAAACGGGGUCUCCGGCUGUUCGUCUCUCGCUAACGCCAAAAGCGACGUGCGCUCAUUUUUAAUCUGAUUAUAGCUUUUGAGACUCGUUUCUAAUUGAAACGGACAUGGCACAGCUAUGGGUGUGCGUACACAUUUUUUAUUCGUGCAUGUUGCAGAAGAAGCGGAAUGUUCUUUGCGUAUUUUGCAGUCAGAUGUUUUUAAAAAGUGAGCUCUGUACUCUGCGAGCCAGAAGUCUUACGCAAAACGGACACGUAGGAAAAAACAACGAUACGUUUUGGAAUUUACUGAAAGCCAUUUUUGACUGCGGUGCUGAUGUCAGCAUUCAACUAUGAACUCACCUCAAAGUGAAUGUUCAUUGCUUUGACCUUUUCAUUGUGACAGUGGAGUCUGAGUCCUGAGGUGAGGAAUCCAAAUGACCACCGUUUUUCAAAUGGAAGAGAGUGGGGCUCUUGUCUUCCUAGAUGGCAGGGAGAUUUGUAAGAAGAUGCAUCAACUCCAAUUCUUACAUCUGUUUUGAAUGAUUUUAAUAAAUGUCACCUGAAUUUCAUGCAAUUGCUUGUGUACUUUGUGAGCAUUUUAGUCGAAUUUUAGCAUGCAACCAAACUGCAUUUUAUGAUAAUUAUAGGGAAAAAGUAUAAACAACACAUCUGUGUUAUUUUUUAACACAUCUUUGUGUGGAAAUGUUUAACAUACAGCAUGUGUUAAAUGUACUAACUGUAAAAAUCACUGUACACAGUGAUUGUGUUAAAAGAAACACAAAAUGUGUUGUCCUUAACUAGACACGCAGGUGUGUUAAAAAUUAACAUGAUUCGUGAAGGUUGGUAUCAAUAUAUUUAUCCAUAAAACCAUUACUGUACACUAGAAAAAUCAAAAAUGUGCAAAAACAGAUUAGUGUGCAUGUCACUAAAUGCACCGCUAUCUUUGUUAGCUUUGGCUUACUUUUUUUUAUAAUGCCCACUGGAUCGUAAGUUGGUUACUCAGUUUUUUGAUGUUUUAAACAUUUCCUUUGAUCAAAAUCUGACGUUUUCGUCUUAAAUAUAUGACUUAUUGAGUCAUUUACUUCAAAGUCUAUAUAUAAACACCACUUUAACAGCUCUACCAAUACAUUUCUGAACACAUUCUUGUGUAUAAACAAAGGAGAUACCAUACUGACAUAUUUAUUUAUAAUGUGACAUUUUCAGAGGGUAAAAAUAACUCCCAAAAUAUUAACCGAUUUAUGAAAUAAAUUUAACCCAGAGGUUUUGUAAAAAUGAAAUUAUCCUUCAGAUUGAAAAACAACCCAUUUUCUGGGUUAAAAUGAAUAACCCAACUUGAUGGGUUAGUUUACACAACACAAGUGUGGGCACAACAGAGUGAGGCAGCCUCACAAACUUUAAAAGAGAUUUAAUGAGUUUUGCAUUGUUGUGGUAUUUGUAAAAUGGCCAAGGAGGCUCAGCAACUCUAAAGACACUUGUGUAUUGUCCACAGUAAAACACACAUUGUCAAAUAAGAUUUGGGAUCAAUUACCCAGACAAAUGCCAAUGUUUAUUUGGGUCUCCAGUGAAGAGAGUCAGACCAUGGUGAAGCUGCAGGGCUUCAGUCAAGAUGUUUGCUUUGGCACAGAUACUCCAGGCUUAUUAUGUAACAAGUGUGACACACCAAAGAUAUGUAUACAAUUGGGUAAUGUUUAUUAUGUUCAAUAUAUAUAAAAAUAUCCCAAAAGAAA
Molecule: long non-coding RNA, 1943 nt
Organism: Ictalurus punctatus (channel catfish)
Lineage: Eukaryota; Metazoa; Chordata; Actinopteri; Siluriformes; Ictaluridae
Exons: 3
Source: RefSeq, a predicted model, not a curated record